Molecule: non-coding RNA, 682 nt
Organism: Microcebus murinus (gray mouse lemur)
Lineage: Eukaryota; Metazoa; Chordata; Mammalia; Primates; Cheirogaleidae
Source: RefSeq, a predicted model, not a curated record
AUCGGACCCGAGAGUCUUUUUCUAAAGGCCAGUAUUGGCCACACUUUCUCCUGCCACCUUCCUCAAAGCUGAAAAGAAACAGAGCAAGAACUGGGAUAAACACUGAGAGUGGACAAAGAAAACAGUAGAGAAAAUAUGAUGGGUGAGAGAGAACGCUCUGGCCUGUACCUCAGCCACUGCUCCUGCUCUUCUCCGGUAGAAAUAUCUACAAACAGAAAAAAUGGUCAAAAGUAGCAAAUGGGGAACAAGGAGGAACUGGUACUUCAGGAACCAGGAAGACGGCUUCCCUCUGGAAAUAGGGGCCAGACUGAAGGUGAAUUGCCUCAUGUUUCCCAGUACUUCUUUCAGUGAGUAAGGCCAGGACCUCAGAAUAGGCUAUAAUUGGCACCAGGUCACCAGAGCCAUGAAUUAAAGCUUUAACAAAUUAGAUCUAUCAGUCUAUCACACCUUGGUUGUGUUAACUCUGGAUUCGCUGAGAAAAUGCUAAGAUAGCUCCAAAUCUUUGCAUGGCUUUCCUAAUCCUCAUUGUAUCUUUUUUUUAAUUUAUAGAGAGAUAAGGUCUUACUCUGUCAUCCAGGCUGGAGUGCAAUGGAGUGCUCAUAGUUCACUGCAUACAGCCUCCAACUCCUGGGCUCAAAUGAUCCCCCCACCUCUGACUACAAAGUAGCUGGGACUAUAGGCA